CAUUUCAAAAAUUAUUUUCACACAUGAUUAUCAUACAGUAUUACAAUGUAUUAUGUGCAAAAUUCCAUUAAAAAAAUCAUUUACAAAAGGAAGUACAACACAGUAUAUGCUGAGGGAGGGCUCUAGUUCAA
Long non-coding RNA from Sapajus apella (tufted capuchin), 131 nucleotides. RefSeq lists it as uncharacterized. The record is from RefSeq and is a predicted model, not a curated record. The transcript is spliced from 3 exons. NCBI's taxonomy places the organism in Eukaryota, Metazoa, Chordata, Mammalia, Primates, Cebidae.